UUGUAUUAUUACAAAUUCAAGAUGUAAUAAUAUAUAGGUGACGUAAAGAAAGAUUUGAUUACUAGUUAAAAGUUACUUGAUUGGAAAUGUAUUAACUUUAAGGGCUUGUUUGGUUCGAGAGUGGAAUUAGAAUGGAUAAUGAAAUGAGAAUGAAUUGAAAUGGUAAUUGGAAUGGCCCACUCUCCUAAGACGUUUGGUUUAUUUGUGGAUUGAGAAUUUAAAUGAGUUAUUCACAUUUCAUUGUUUGGUUCGUAUAAACUAAAAAAAUUAUAGAAUACUAUAAUACUAAUUUUACUCUCAAAUAUAAAUUUAUAUUAUUUAAAAUUUAUGAAAAAUAUAAUACUAUUCUCUAAUAAGUUUUUCAAAAAAAAUAUCAAAUUUAUUUUUAAAAACUUUUAUUGAUGUGAGUUAGGAAUAGAAUUUUGAGAGAAGAUAAGUUUUUUUUUUUUUUUUUGAUGAGAAAAAGGUGAAAAGAAGGAGGGUGAGAUGGUCACAUGGGCUUCGAGAACUUAGUAGGCUUCCGGAAUGAAAUCUUAAUCCGGACUAUAAGACCGGAAUCAAGUUGAAGGCUAAUGGGCCGUUCCCAUUCCAGUCCGGAAUAGGAAUCUCAAACCGAUUCAUGCGAACCAAACAAAAUUAACCGGAUUUGAUCAAACCGAUUUUCAUUCCAUAUCCAAAAUGGAUGAACCAAACAAGCCCUAAGUGAAAUAAACAGUAUAUAAGAAACAAAAAAACUUUAGUGUU
Molecule: long non-coding RNA, 744 nt
Filed under: Ananas comosus (pineapple)
Lineage: Eukaryota; Viridiplantae; Streptophyta; Magnoliopsida; Poales; Bromeliaceae
Description: long non-coding RNA (ACOM_LNC004673)
Source: RNAcentral